GUGAACGCUGGCGGUAGGCCUAACACAUGCAAGUCGAACGGCAGCACAGUAAGAGCUUGCUCUUACGGGUGGCGAGUGGCGGACGGGUGAGGAAUACAUCGGAAUCUACUUUUUCGUGGGGGAUAACGUAGGGAAACUUACGCUAAUACCGCAUACGACCUACGGGUGAAAGCAGGGGAUCUUCGGACCUUGCGCGAUUAAAUGAGCCGAUGUCGGAUUAGCUAGUUGGCGGGGUAAAGGCCCACCAAGGCGACGAUCCGUAGCUGGUCUGAGAGGAUGAUCAGCCACACUGGAACUGAGACACGGUCCAGACUCCUACGGGAGGCAGCAGUGGGGAAUAUUGGACAAUGGGCGCAAGCCUGAUCCAGCCAUACCGCGUGGGUGAAGAGGGCCUUCGGGUUGUAAAGCCCUUUUGUUGGGAAAGAAAAGCAGCAGGUUAAUACCCCGCUGUUCUGACGGUACCCAAAGAAUAAGCACCGGCUAACUUCGUG
RNAcentral lists this ribosomal RNA (491 nucleotides) under uncultured bacterium. RNAcentral's name for it is "partial 16S ribosomal RNA". It matches the Rfam family "Bacterial small subunit ribosomal RNA", at positions 29 to 507 of the family's 1533-position model. The record is from RNAcentral.